Molecule: ribosomal RNA, 253 nt
Filed under: uncultured bacterium
Lineage: Bacteria
Description: partial 16S ribosomal RNA
Rfam family: Bacterial small subunit ribosomal RNA
Source: RNAcentral
UACAGAGGGUGCAAGCGUUGUUCGGAAUUAUUGGGCGUAAAGGGAGUGUAGGCGGUUGCCUAAGUCUUCUGUGAAAUCUGCGGGCUCAGCCUGCAAAGUGCAGAGGAAACUGGGCGACUUGAGUGUCGGAGAGGAUAGGGGAAUACCCAGUGUAGAGGUGAAAUUCGUAGAGAUUGGGUGGAACACCAGUGGCGAAGGCGCCUGUCUGGCUGACAACUGACGCUGAGACUCGAAAGCAUGGGGAGCAAACAGG